UGAGGAAUAUUGGUCAAUGGGCGAGAGCCUGAACCAGCCAAGUAGCGUGCAGGAUGACGGCCCUAUGGGUUGUAAACUGCUUUUAUGUGGGGAUAAAGUGAGCUACGUGUAGUUUAUUGCAGGUACCACAUGAAUAAGGACCGGCUAAUUCCGUGCCAGCAGCCGCGGUAAUACGGAAGGUCCAGGCGUUAUCCGGAUUUAUUGGGUUUAAAGGGAGCGUAGGCCGUGGAUUAAGCGUGUUGUGAAAUGUAGACGCUCAACGUCUGAAUUGCAGCGCGAACUGGUUCACUUGAGUAUGCACAACGUAGGCGGAAUUCGUCGUGUAGCGGUGAAAUGCUUAGAUAUGACGAAGAACUCCGAUUGCGAAGGCAGCUUACGGGAGCACAACUGACGCUGAAGCUCGAAGGUGCGGGUAUCAAACAGGAUUAGAUACCCUGGUAGUCCGCACAGUAAACGAUGGAUGCCCGUUGUUAGUUCACUUAAGAAUUAGCGACCAAGCGAAAGCAUUAAGCAUCCCACCUGGGGAGUACGCCGGCACGGU
This 541-nucleotide ribosomal RNA is filed under the name uncultured bacterium. Its description in RNAcentral is "bacterial SSU rRNA". It matches the Rfam family "Bacterial small subunit ribosomal RNA", at positions 355 to 895 of the family's 1533-position model. The record is from RNAcentral.